Molecule: transfer RNA, 67 nt
Filed under: Cherax holthuisi
Lineage: Eukaryota; Metazoa; Arthropoda; Malacostraca; Decapoda; Parastacidae
Description: tRNA-Pro
Source: RNAcentral
CAGAAAAUAGUUUACUUUUUAAAAUAUUAAUUUUGGAAAUUAAAGAAAAAGCCUGCUUUUUUUCUGA